CCUACGGGAGGCAGCAGUGGGGAAUUUUGGACAAUGGGCGCAAGCCUGAUCCAGCCAUUCCGCGUGAGUGAAGAAGGCCUUCGGGUUGUAAAGCUCUUUCGCAAGGGAAGAAAACUUACUUUCUAAUAAAGAGUGAGGUUGACGGUACCUUGAUAAGAAGCACCGGCUAACUACGUGCCAGCAGCCGCGGUAAUACGUAGGGUGCGAGCGUUAAUCGGAAUUACUGGGCGUAAAGCGUGCGCAGGCGGCUUUGUAAGUCAGAUGUGAAAUCCCCGAGCUCAACUUGGGAACUGCGUUUGAAACUACAAGGCUAGAAUAUGUCAGAGGGGGGUAGAAUUCCACGUGUAGCAGUGAAAUGCGUAGAGAUGUGGAGGAAUACCAAUGGCGAAGGCAGCCCCCUGGGAUAAUAUUGACGCUCAUGCACGAAAGCGUGGGGAGCAAACAGGAUUAGAUACCCUGGUAGUCCACGCCCUAAACGAUGUCUACUAGUUGUUGGUGGAGUAAAAUCCAUGAGUAACGCAGCUAACGCGUGAAGUAGACCGCCUGGGGAGUACGGUCGCAAGAUUAAAACUCAAAUGAAUUGACGGGG
This 589-nucleotide ribosomal RNA is filed under the name uncultured bacterium. RNAcentral describes it as "bacterial SSU rRNA". It matches the Rfam family "Bacterial small subunit ribosomal RNA", at positions 338 to 918 of the family's 1533-position model. The record is from RNAcentral.